CGUAGGUGGCAAGCGUUGUCCAGAAUUAUUGGGCGUAAAGCGCGCGCAGGCGGUUCCUUAAGUCUGAUGUGAAAGCCCCCGGCUCAACCGGGGAGGGUCAUUGGAAACUGGGGAACUUGAGUGCAGAAGAGAAGAGCGGAAUUCCACGUGUAGCGGUGAAAUGCGUAGAGAUGUGGAGGAACACCAGUGGCGAAGGCGGCUCUUUGGUCUGUAACUGACGCUGAGGCGCGAAAGCGUGGGGAGCAAACAGGAUUAGAUACCCUGGUAGUCCACGCCGUAAACGAUGAGUGCUAAGUGUUAGAGGGUUUCCGCCCUUUAGUGCUGCAGCUAACGCAUUAAGCACUCCGCCUGGGGAGUACGGCCGCAAGGCUG
RNAcentral lists this ribosomal RNA (372 nucleotides) under uncultured organism. RNAcentral describes it as "bacterial SSU rRNA". It matches the Rfam family "Bacterial small subunit ribosomal RNA", at positions 526 to 896 of the family's 1533-position model. The record is from RNAcentral.